ACAGCAGUAGCCGCGGUAAAACGAAGGGUGCAAGCGUUAAUCGGAAUUACUGGGCGUAAAGCGUGCGUAGGCGGUUUGUUAAGUCUGUUGUGAAAUCCCCGGGCUCAACCUGGGAAUGGCAAUGGAUACUGGCAAGCUAGAGUGUGUCAGAGGAUGGUGGAAUUCCCGGUGUAGCGGUGAAAUGCGUAGAGAUCGGGAGGAACAUCAGUGGCGAAUGCGGCCAUCUGGGCCAAUACUGACGCUCAUGCACGAAAGCGUGGGGAGCAAACAGGAUUAGAUACCCCAGUAGUCCCUGUCUCUUAUAC
This 305-nucleotide ribosomal RNA is filed under the name uncultured bacterium. Its description in RNAcentral is "partial 16S ribosomal RNA". It matches the Rfam family "Bacterial small subunit ribosomal RNA", at positions 508 to 807 of the family's 1533-position model. The record is from RNAcentral.